This 484-nucleotide ribosomal RNA is filed under the name uncultured bacterium. RNAcentral describes it as "partial 16S ribosomal RNA". It matches the Rfam family "Bacterial small subunit ribosomal RNA", at positions 30 to 507 of the family's 1533-position model. The record is from RNAcentral.
AUUGAACGCUGGCGGCAUGCCUAACACAUGCCAGUCGAGCGGAUAAAGGGAGCUUGUUCCUGGCUUCCGCGGCGGGCGGGUGUGUAAUGCCCAGGCGUCUGCCUUGUCGGGGGGGAUAGCGCCCGGAAACGGGCGCUAAUCCCACACACGUUAUGAUGGAGAAAGGGGGGGUUCUUUAGACCUCGCGGUAUCAGAUGACCCUAUGGCGGAUUAGCUAGUUGGUGGGGUAAGGGCUUACCAAGGCGACGAUCCGUAGCUGGUCUGAGAGGAUGAUCAGCCACACUGGAACUGAGACACGGUCCAGACUCCUACGGGAGGCAGCAGUGGGGAAUCUUGGACAAUGGGCGAAAGCCUGAUCCAGCCAUGCCGCGUGUGUGAUGAAGGUCUUCGGAUUGUAAAGCACUUUUAUUUGGGAGGAAGAGCAGUAUGAUAAUACCUUGCUGUCUUGACGGUACCAACAGAAUAAGCACCGGCUAACUACGUG